CUUCUAUAUAAAGAUAGCAAACGGGUGAGUAUGGCGUAGAAACUAACCUAGAAAUUUAGUUAAAAACUUCAAAAUUUAUUUGUUUUUAGAAAGGUCUACGUACAAUUAAGUAGUUGGUUAGAUUAAAUCCUUACCAAGCUUAUGAUUUUUAGUUGGUCUAUGAGGAUGAACAGCCACAUUGGAAUUGAGAUAUGGUCCAAACUCUAUAUUAAGAGGCAGCAGUGGGGAAUAUUGGGCAAUGAAUAAUAGUUUGACCCAGCUAAGUCAUGUGUAUGAUGAAGAUGUUUGAUUGUAAAGUACUUUUGUGAGUUAUAAUAAUGAUUGAUUUUUGAAUAAACCCUGGCUAAUUUCGUGCCAGCAGCCGCGGUAAAACGAGAAGGGUUAGUGUUAUUCAGAUUAACUGGGCGUAAAGUAUAUGUAGGCGGAAAAUUAACUAGUGAUCUAAAUCUUAAAUUUUAUUUUUAAAAGCAUCAUUAAAUUUAUUUUCUUGAGUUUAAAAAAGGAUUAUAGAAUUUUGAGUGUAAUGGUUAAAUAUAUUGAGAUUUGAAGGAAUUCCUAAAGCGAAAGCAGUAAUCUGGAUUAUAACUGACGCUGA
This 595-nucleotide ribosomal RNA is filed under the name uncultured bacterium. RNAcentral describes it as "bacterial SSU rRNA". It matches the Rfam family "Bacterial small subunit ribosomal RNA", at positions 82 to 749 of the family's 1533-position model. The record is from RNAcentral.